UCCUGCUCCUGGAAAGCCACUAACUUUCUGAUUUCAGUUCCAACCAUUUUCUAAAACACCUGCAGUCAGCUGCAAAAAACUGCCUUAAGUUAAGAAAACCCCAAGUGGCUAAGUGUGGUGUCCCAUACUCUGAAUUUGUGCUCUGCAUUUAACCCAUCCAAGUGCACACACACAGCAGUAAGUAGUGAACACACACACACACUGUGAACACACACCCGGAGCAGUGGGCAGCCACUUUUUGCUGUGGGUUCAGUGUCUUGCUCAAGGGGACCACUGUUGUGGGUAAUGCGGGUGGAAGAAAGUGCUGGUCAUUCACUCCCCCAACCUACAUUUCCUGCCGGUGCUGAGACUCAAACCCGCAACUUUCAGGCUACAAGCCUGACUCUAACCAUUUGGCCACGACUACCCAUAAACAUAAUUGUGUUUCAACUGGACACUGUCAGUAAUUUCCAUGUAAACUCAAAUGCUUUGAUUUGUUGAUUCAGAUGCAUUUAAUUAAGUCAGGGUGUCCAAUCCUGCUCCUGGAGGGUGUGUGUGUGUAAAAUAUUUAUUGUGGUAAUAAUCACCUCUGGCACCUCUAACCGACAGCAAACCUUCAUUGCAAGGUACUUCUUUGAUGCCAUUCAGGAAAACAGUGGUUGCCCACGAUUCAUAAGGGCAGACAGAGGAAAGGAAAAUCUUCAGAUGCAAGUGAUGCAAGUGGCAUUUCACUUCCGGGAGUCUGGUGAUCAAGGACGAGACUCCUUCAGAGUGGGCACAUCAGUACAUAAUCAGCGAGCUGAAUGCUUCAACAGUAUGCUGAAGAAAACAUGGAUCAAAAAGUGACCUUUGACAUUUGAGGUGAACUUUGUUUUUGUCUCAGUUGGAAUGUAUAGCACAUGCUUAUUGAUGCUAAAUUGAAGGCAUUUUGUAAUAGAUAUACUCAUCUAAAAAAUGUGUGUUUUUAGGCCAUGAUGGAAUCUGGCAUGCUCGAUUUGGACAAUCCUGUACACAUAAAUUGCCUGCAAUAUACACACCUCCCCCUCCUUGAGAGAGAGCUGAACAUAGAGCAAAGACUGUGGAACACUCAUGACAUUCGCAAGCAAAGGAAUGUUCCAGGUCAAUCUGGGAAACCAGACCUUCUCUUUACUUCCCCACCCGAAGGUAUCUGUUUCAUCCAA
RNAcentral lists this long non-coding RNA (1160 nucleotides) under Sinocyclocheilus anshuiensis. RNAcentral's name for it is "lncRNA (ENSSANG00000041045.1)". Lineage: Eukaryota; Metazoa; Chordata; Actinopteri; Cypriniformes; Cyprinidae. The record is from RNAcentral.